Molecule: non-coding RNA, 1065 nt
Organism: Cucurbita pepo subsp. pepo (vegetable marrow)
Lineage: Eukaryota; Viridiplantae; Streptophyta; Magnoliopsida; Cucurbitales; Cucurbitaceae
Source: RefSeq, a predicted model, not a curated record
GCCCAAAACAAAGCCGUGAGAGCUUAUGCUCAAAGUGGACAAUAUCAUACCAUUAUGGAGAGUCGUGUUUGUCUAACAAAUGAGUGAUUGAAAAGCUAUACUUUUCAUCUUCCAUGGAUUGCAAGAUUUGAAUAAUAUGGUUUGAAUGGAAGAUCUAAUCCAGAAUUUGUCCUACAAAUAAGUCAAGAUCUGCUCUCACUUACUGCUGGUAUUUUAUCCCCAACCAUUUGUGGGAACACUACGUUUCCCUUUUCUUUCAAUCCAUAUUGCGAAUAUUUCGAGUGGAAUUCAAAUUGGGAAGAAGAUUAAUCAUCAGUAGCAUCAUUCGUCAUGGUUGAUUGUUUUAUCAUUAUGACUAGUGACGCUCCACACGUCUUAACUUUGUCGAGGCUGAGUCAUGAUGAUCAUUACAUUUGUUACUUUAUGUGCUUUCAUAUACAUGCUCUGAGUACUUCUCCUUCGCACAGAUACUUCUCAAAGACCCUUAACUGGCCUCCAGACAUAUUAUCCUCUUCCUUCUCGGUCUGUUCAGUUAAAAUAUCUACUUGACGUGGAUGCAUUCUUUUACUUGUAAGAUGUUUAGUCAACAUACAAUAAGGUGAAUACAAACUUAAAAUAAAAUUUUUAUGUGCAAUUGCAGGCCAAAUGGAACUGUUGAUCACAUGCUAUACAUUCCAGCUCAUGGUGCCAUUAUUGGAGAGUGGUUUUGCGCGUAGUCCACUUGAUUGGGAAAGGCCACGGCAGGGAAGCCUUCUUGCAAAUGGGUUUGGUGUUGCUGCACCGAUGUUGAGGCUAUUAUGACCAGGUUUUGGUUUACGAAGUUCUAGACAUUGAGGAAUAUCCUUCUGCAGAAGACAACAUAGGGAAUUCAGCCUGGACAUGAUGGUCUGUGUUCACCAGAGUCGGAUGCAUGUUCAGAAUCACCAAAAAGAUACUGUGAACAAUGACUUGAUCCCAUUUGUUGAACAGUCUUGAACUUUCUGAUCCAUGGUUUCUCAAUUCUUCAAUCGUCAUGCGAGCUUCCAGCCCUGAAAUGUAUAGUUAGCAAGUCAAAUUAUUUGCAGA